GAUGUACGCUGGCGGCGUGCCUAAUACAUGCAAGUCGAGCGAACAGACGAGGAGCUUGCUCCUCUGACGUUAGCGGCGGACGGGUGAGUAACACGUGGAUAACCUACCUAUAAGACUGGGAUAACUUCGGGAAACCGGAGCUAAUACCGGAUAAUAUAUUGAACCGCAUGGUUCAAUAGUGAAAGACGGUUUUGCUGUCACUUAUAGAUGGAUCCGCGCCGCAUUAGCUAGUUGGUAAGGUAACGGCUUACCAAGGCAACGAUGCGUAGCCGACCUGAGAGGGUGAUCGGCCACACUGGAACUGAGACACGGUCCAGACUCCUACGGGAGGCAGCAGUAGGGAAUCUUCCGCAAUGGGCGAAAGCCUGACGGAGCAACGCCGCGUGAGUGAUGAAGGUCUUCGGAUCGUAAAACUCUGUUAUUAGGGAAGAACAAAUGUGUAAGUAACUAUGCAUGUCUUGACGGUACCUAAUCAGAAAGCCACGGCUAACUACGUG
Molecule: ribosomal RNA, 497 nt
Filed under: uncultured bacterium
Lineage: Bacteria
Description: partial 16S ribosomal RNA
Rfam family: Bacterial small subunit ribosomal RNA
Source: RNAcentral